RNAcentral lists this ribosomal RNA (120 nucleotides) under uncultured bacterium. Its description in RNAcentral is "partial 16S ribosomal RNA". It matches the Rfam family "Bacterial small subunit ribosomal RNA", at positions 29 to 138 of the family's 1533-position model. The record is from RNAcentral.
AGCGAACGCUGGCGGCGUACUUAACACAUGCAAGUCGAACGAGGAUCACCGGUGUAGCAAUACAUUGUUGAUCCUAGUGGCGCACGGGUGAGUAACACGUGGGUGACCUGCCCUUGAGCU